This 255-nucleotide ribosomal RNA is filed under the name uncultured bacterium. RNAcentral describes it as "partial 16S ribosomal RNA". It matches the Rfam family "Bacterial small subunit ribosomal RNA", at positions 524 to 777 of the family's 1533-position model. The record is from RNAcentral.
UACGAAGGGGGCUAGCGUUGCUCGGAAUCACUGGGCGUAAAGCGCACGUAGGCGGCUUUCUAAGUCAGGGGUGAAAUCCUGGAGCUCAACUCCAGAACUGCCUUUGAUACUGGAAAGCUUGAGUUCGGGAGAGGUGAGUGGAACUCCGAGUGUAGAGGUGAAAUUCGUAGAUAUCAGGAGGAACACCAAUGGCGAAGGCAGCUCGCUGGGACGGUACUGACGCUGAGACGCGAAAAGCGUGGGGAGCAAACAGGG